RNAcentral lists this ribosomal RNA (385 nucleotides) under uncultured bacterium. RNAcentral describes it as "bacterial SSU rRNA". It matches the Rfam family "Bacterial small subunit ribosomal RNA", at positions 355 to 733 of the family's 1533-position model. The record is from RNAcentral.
UAGGGAAUCUUCCGCAAUGGACGAAAGUCUGACGGAGCAACGCCGCGUGAGUGAAGAAGGUUUUCGGAUCGUAAAACUCUGUUGUGAGGGAAGAACAAGUACCAAGUAACUACUGGUACCUUGACGGUACCUCACCAGAAAGCCACGGCUAACUACGUGCCAGCAGCCGCGGUAAUACGUAGGUGGCAAGCGUUGUCCGGAAUUAUUGGGCGUAAAGCGCGCGCAGGCGGUCCUUUAAGUCUGAUGUGAAAGCCCACGGCUCAACCGUGGAGGGUCAUUGGAAACUGGGGGACUUGAGUGCAGAAGAGGAAAGUGGAAUUCCACGUGUAGCGGUGAAAUGCGUAGAGAUCGGAAGGAACACCUGUGGCGAAGGCGACUAUCUGGG